UGAGGAAUCUUGCGCAAUGGGGGAAACCCUGACGCAGCAACGCCGCGUGAGUGAAGAAGGCCUUCGGGUCGUAAAGCUCUGUCAGAUGGGAAGAAAUGGAUGGGGGCUAAUAUCGUCCAUCCUUGACGGUACCAUCAGAGGAAGCACCGGCUAACUCCGUGCCAGCAGCCGCGGUAAUACGGGGGGUGCAAGCGUUGUUCGGAAUCAUUGGGCGUAAAGCGCGCGCAGGCGGCUUGGUAAGUCAGAUGUGAAAUCCCGGGGCUUAACUCCGGAACUGCCAUAGAAACUGCAAGCCUAGAGUACGGAAGAGGUUGAUGGAAUAUCUGGUGUAGCAGUGAAAUGCGUAGAUAUCAGAUAGAACACCAAUGGCGAAGGCAGUCAACUGGUCCGUUACUGACGCUAAAGCACGAAAGUGUGGGGAGCGAACA
RNAcentral lists this ribosomal RNA (428 nucleotides) under uncultured prokaryote. Its description in RNAcentral is "bacterial SSU rRNA". It matches the Rfam family "Bacterial small subunit ribosomal RNA", at positions 355 to 774 of the family's 1533-position model. The record is from RNAcentral.